UCGUUGAUUUCACACUGCCGAGAAAAGCCUCUAGAUAGAAAAUAGGUGCCCGUACCGCAAACCGACACAGGUAGUCAAGAUGAGAAUUCUAAGGUGAGCGAGCGAACUCUCGUUAAGGAACUCGGCAAAAUGACCCCGUAACUUCGGGAGAAGGGGUGCUCUUUAGGGUUAACGCCCAGAAGAGCCGCAGUGAAUAGGCCCAAGCGACUGUUUAUCAAAAACACAGGUCUCUGCUAAACCGUAAGGUGAUGUAUAGGGGCUGACGCCUGCCCGGUGCUGGAAGGUUAAGAGGAGUGGUUAGCUUCUGCGAAGCUACGAAUCGAAGCCCCAGUAAACGGCGGCCGUAACUAUAACGGUCCUAAGGUAGCGAAAUUCCUUGUCGGGUAAGUUCCGACCCGCACGAAAGGCGUAACGAUUUGGGCACUGUCUCAACGAGAGACUCGGUGAAAUCAUAGUACCUGUGAAGAUGCAGGUUACCCGCGACAGGACGGAAAGACCCCGUGGAGCUUUACUGUAGCCUGAUAUUGAAAUUCGGCACAGCUUGUACAGG
Molecule: ribosomal RNA, 550 nt
Filed under: Staphylococcus aureus
Lineage: Bacteria; Bacillati; Bacillota; Bacilli; Caryophanales; Staphylococcaceae
Description: partial 23S ribosomal RNA
Rfam family: Bacterial large subunit ribosomal RNA
Source: RNAcentral